UGUAUAGGCACCGUCGUGAAUGUCUACGUAACAUAGGUAUUUUAGUCGGCGACGACGAUGUCUAGCGGAUGGUAUAAAUGCGAAUUCCGCGAUUUGGUCGCUAACAAAUAUUUACCGUAGGUAUAAUAACCUAAUUGAAGAUUGUUCGAUUCCGAAAAAAAAAAAAAAAAAACCAAUUGUUGAUCUUAAAAGCCGUUACGGUAGAAUUUUCCACCGUUGCAGUCUUUAUCUAACGGUAUAUCGAAAAUGUCCAACGCAAGUCCAAUACCAAAAUAAAAAAAAAAAACCUUAAAAUAGGACAGAAAAAACAUCUAUUCUAAAAUUUGUAGAUGAUCACACGGAUAAUCUUGUCGGC
This is a non-coding RNA of Cinara cedri, 355 nucleotides long. The record is from the annotation of a GenBank genome assembly. Lineage: Eukaryota; Metazoa; Arthropoda; Insecta; Hemiptera; Aphididae.